This 336-nucleotide ribosomal RNA is filed under the name Triticum aestivum (bread wheat). RNAcentral describes it as "partial small subunit ribosomal RNA". The record is from RNAcentral. Lineage: Eukaryota; Viridiplantae; Streptophyta; Magnoliopsida; Poales; Poaceae.
AUGGUUGACAAUGAGAACAACAUGACUGCAUCUGGCAAUUGGGAGGAUGCCCUUGCUGGUCUGACAGCUCCAAGCAAGAAGCGUGGAGUUGGGCGGCCAUGCUCGAGCAAAGAGAAAGCGCCGUACGAAGGCUUGAGUAAACGAACAAGGUUUUUUUCGGUAUAUGUAAACUCCCAGGGCAUAAGAGGACCACCUGCCCAGACAGGGGUGAUGUGCCAAAACAAACUCGCAAGCCUGUUACCUGCAAGAACUGUGGUGUUACGGGGCACCGUCGCACCUCCUGCACGAGGCCGCUUGUCACCAAUGCAUUUUAAUAACUUUAGAUAUCGUGUGUAA